GACGAACGCUGGCGGCGUGCCUAAUACAUGCGAGUAGAACGCUGAAGAGAGGAGCUUGCUCUUCUUGGAUGAGUUGCGAACGGGUGAGUAACGCGUAGGUAACCUGCCUUGUAGCGGGGGAUAACUAUUGGAAACGAUAGCUAAUACCGCAUAACAAUAGGUUACACAUGUCAUUUAUUUGAAAGGGGCAAUUGCUCUACUACAAGAUGGACCUGCGUUGUAUUAGCUAGUAGGUGAGGUAACGGCUCACCUAGGCGACGAUCCAUAGCCGGCCUGAGCGGAUGACCAGCCACACUGGGACUGAGCCCCGGCCCAGCCUCCUACGGGAGGCAGAAGUGGGGAAUUUUCCGCAAUGGGCGAAAGGCUGACGGGGAAAUAACGCGUGAGGGAAGAAGGCUCUUGGGUUGUAAACCUCUUUUCUUAGGGAAGAACAAAAUGACGGUACCUAAGGAAUCAGCAUCGGCUAACUCCGUG
RNAcentral lists this ribosomal RNA (474 nucleotides) under uncultured bacterium. Its description in RNAcentral is "partial 16S ribosomal RNA". It matches the Rfam family "Bacterial small subunit ribosomal RNA", at positions 28 to 507 of the family's 1533-position model. The record is from RNAcentral.